UGAUUAUAGCUCUAAAAUGUGUACAUAUCGCCCGUCACUCUUAUUAUAAAAUAAGAUAAGUCGUAACAUAGUAGAUGUACUGGAAAGUGUAUCUAGAAUGACAAAUUAGAGCUUGUUUAGAGAAUUAGUAUUGUAAAAGAAAUUUUAAAUAAAUUUAUUUUAUUUAUAAGUAAAAUUUUUUUUUUGUACCUUGUGUAUCAGGGUUUAUUAAAUAAUUAUUAUAAAUAUUAAUUUUCCCGAAUUUAAAAGAGAGAAUAAAUAAWUUUUAUUAUUGUAAAAAAAAUAUUUAAAAUUAUUUAUUAGAAAUGAAAAGUUAUUCGUUUUUAAAUAUAUCUGGUUUAUAAAGAAAUAAAUUAAAUUUAAUUAAUUUUAUUUUAUUGAUUUAUUUUUUUAAGUUAGUAAAUUUUAUUAAUAAUAAUUAAAGGGAUAAGCUUUUAAUUAAAAUUUUAUAAUUUUUAAUAUUAAUAAAAAUAUAUAGGUUUAGAAAUAUCCAUUAUUUUUAAUUUGUUGUAAUUAAUUUUUUAAUAAUUAAUAUUUAAUAAAAAUUUAAAAUUUAUAUUUAUAAUUAAUAUUUAAUUAAUUAAUAUUAGGUAUAAUGAUAAAAUUAGUAUAUAAAAUUAUUUAAAUAUAAUUAAUUUUUUGGUUAUAAAAAGGAAUUCGGCAAAAAUUUUAUUCGCCUGUUUAAUAAAAACAUGUCCUUUAGAUAAAAAUUAUUUAAGGUCUAACCUGCCCAUUGAUUAAUUAAAAGGCCGCAGUAAUUUGACUGUGCAAAGGUAGCAUAAUCAUUAGUUUUUUAAUUAAAAGCUUGUAUGAAUGGUUGGACGAGAUAAAAUCUGUCUCUUUAUAAAAAAUAGAAUUUAAUUUUUAAGUUAAAAAGCUUAAAUAAAUAUAAAAGACGAGAAGACCCUAUAGAUCUUUAUAUAAUUUUUUUUAAUAUUAAUAAAGAAGAUUUAAUUUAUUAAAUAAUUUUAUAUUUUAUUGGGGUAAUAAAAAGAUUAAUUUAAUUCUUUUUUAUUAAACAAUAAUUAUUGGUUAUAUGAUCCAUUAUUAAUGAUUAUAAGAUUAAGUUACCUUAGGGAUAACAGCGUAAUUUUUUUAGAGAGUUCUUAUCAAUAAAAAAGUUUGCGACCUCGAUGUUGGAUUAAAAGUAAUUCUAGGUGCAGAAGUUUAGAGUUUUGGUCUGUUCGACCAUUAAAUUUUUACAUGAUCUGAGUUUAGACCGGCGUAAGCCAGGUUGGUUUCUAUCUUUAUUUAUUUAAUAUAUUUUAGUACGAAAGGACCAAUUAUAUAAUAUAUUUAUAUUUAUUUUUUGAAUAAAAUUAUUACUUUGGCAGAUUAGUGUAAUGAAUUUAGAAUUCAAUAAU
RNAcentral lists this ribosomal RNA (1364 nucleotides) under Hydroporus erythrocephalus. RNAcentral's name for it is "16S ribosomal RNA". The stretch from base 1078 to 1236 matches the Rfam family "Archaeal large subunit ribosomal RNA", at positions 2544 to 2703 of the family's 2987-position model. The record is from RNAcentral. Lineage: Eukaryota; Metazoa; Arthropoda; Insecta; Coleoptera; Dytiscidae.